Ananas comosus (pineapple) is the source of this 889-nucleotide long non-coding RNA. RefSeq lists it as uncharacterized. The record is from RefSeq and is a predicted model, not a curated record. The transcript has 2 exons. Lineage: Eukaryota; Viridiplantae; Streptophyta; Magnoliopsida; Poales; Bromeliaceae.
ACAGGCGGGCCCAUGCAAGGCACGUGACUGCUUUAGGGUUGCCAUGUAUAUAUAUCACAUUUACAUGACACAAGUGAACGAAUACAUAGAGAGCUCUGUAUUCUAAUUUGGCAUCUGGUGUAUAUGAACAUAUUGAUGAGGCUCUCCUGGGUUUCUUGUUGAUGAAAUUUAUGAAGCAUUUUGAUGGCUAAUGAGGGUGCACUGGUGUUGCUGGUGGUGCUCGCGGCGUUCCUCGUUUUCCUCCCGCUUGUGCUUCCGCCGCUACCGCCGCCGCCGUCGCUCUUCCUCCUAAUCCCCUUAGGCUUGAUGCUGUGCCUUGCCUUCCUAGCUCUCGGCGCCUCUUCGGCCCCCUCAUAACUUCCCCCCUCUACGUAUCGAAGACACGGACGUACAUCAUCACAUACUUCCGUGCGAUUCCACCAGUGUAAGAGCAGAAACAAAGAGAGGAGAAAGAAGUUAGAAGGUAGUCUCAGUCAUUCACCAAUCAUUAUUUUGUCAGUGCGUUUCUGAUCAGAAUCCGUCCUUUAGCUUUCCUCCCAUUAGACGUGCAGGCAUUCAUUCUUCAAGAGAGAUCAAAUUUCUUCGGCGGCGCGCGGAACCGGCCGGGGAUGGGUAACAAUUACCUGAUCAUGUUGCAAAAGAAGCAACAUAAGAAGAAAUAAAAAGGAGGCAACUAAUGGAACACGUAUAAAUUGCACGGAAGUGAAAAAGAUAGGAGGAGGGAAAAAAUGGGGAGUUUGACUACUUGUUGUUAGGCUAUGCAUGUCGAAUUGUGGUAAAAUUAGUUGACAUUUUGCGCUGUUCAUAAUGCAUGUAAACCCGAGAAGAAUUAUGUUAAUGAAGAUGUUAUUGAAAUAAUUCGUGAUCAAAAACGUGUAGUUUUGUUUAA